GGCCCGAGGCCAGGAGAGGGAGUAGCCAGGCCAGGGGAUGGAAGAUGGAUGGGUUGGCCGGGCUCCAGGGCAGGUGUGAUUGUCCCUCCGCCAUUUGGCACCUCCCUUCUGCUGCAGAUAGAGCUGGCUCCUGCUGUUCCCCAGGCGUCUGCCUGGGCGUCCCUCACUGUCCCCACCCCAGCCCGCACCCCACUUCCCAUGCUCUCCUGUAGCUCUGAGCCUGGCUGCUGCGCUCAGACUUCCUGUAUAAACCUGCACGGAAUGGCUGAGACCUGCCGGGUCCAACUCUAGUUUCAUACUCUGGAGAUGCACGGGCCCCGCUGGCGCACGCUGGGUUGGUUCUUGGUGAGGCAGAAACUCCCAGGAAGGGAAGCGGCUCUGAGAAGCCCAGGCCUGACCUCCCUGGUCACUCGCGGGAGGAGAGUGGACUGCGCCCGCUCCCCGCACCCUGGCACUGGGCUGGGACCGGCCCUCGAGUGGCACCAGUGGCCUCAUCUCCUCUCAGGCUUCUCCUGCUCAGUAAAUGCAGCCGAUGAAACAGAGGACAAAAGUCGGAAAAUCCCGAUGGGCUGAGACAGCCUGGCUGCCUCCUUCUCGGGAGAGGUGGCCUUCGUGGGGCCUAAGCAGGUGGCUUCCUGGCCCCGACAUCUGGUCUGUGUGGCCAGGACCCGUGGGGGCGGGCGGCAUUUGUGCCCAUUGCUCGUGGGUCAGCUGAGGCGGGGAUAGCCGGGCCCAAAGCACGCAGCUGGGAAGCGCCAGCCUGGGCUCAGCGGGUGGCCCCAGCUCUGCAGCCACGGCCCAGGGGAGAGGUGGCAGCACCGGGCAGGAGAGUGACAGGGUCAUGUCUCUUUCACCUAAUUUGCCCCUGGUGGCAUUGCACGUGGCUGUGGCCACUGUCACAACCACGGCCCUGAUGCCAACCACUCCCCUCUCCCUGCCACUGCACUCCACAUCUGAUCUUUCCGGCCCAGGUGUCCAUCCCACAAGGCGACAGGUGUCCAGGUGUCCAGCGCCUGUGUCCAGGGGCCGGGCUGCAAGCAGAGGAGUGACCAGGUGUUGGAAAUCAACUGUGAGCCUGUCGCUGUGAGUGGAAAUGAGGGAGACAGAAUCCAGAGAGAGAAGGCACCUCUGCCAGGGCACAGCAGCUAGGCGGGAGCUCCGGAGGACGCACUUCUCAAGCCCACCUAGGAGUUCGUUUGUGCUUCUUGAAGCCACCCCAACUGUCAGGCACUUGAGUUGUUGCUGAAAUAAAUAAUGUUGCAGACCAAGUCCUUUAACGUAAACCUGCAUGAACCUGCCGUUUAUUUCCUCCAGUAAAUUCCAAAUAGAGGAGCUAGAGAGAGAUCAAAGGGUGUGGACACUUUCCAAACCCCUGGCAUCGAUCACUGGCCAGCCGGGGAAGGGUGUAAAUUCAGUGGUCUCUGUAGGCGAUGCAGCAUGGACGAGGGCUUGUUGCUCUCUGCAUUUGCAAACACCGGG
RNAcentral lists this long non-coding RNA (1479 nucleotides) under Heterocephalus glaber (naked mole-rat). RNAcentral's name for it is "lncRNA (ENSHGLG00000046039.1)". The record is from RNAcentral. Lineage: Eukaryota; Metazoa; Chordata; Mammalia; Rodentia; Bathyergidae.